AUGGAACAACAGGAAGAGGAUGAAGCUGAAAGUUGGGAAUCUGGUUUUUCUGACGAUGGUUCCCUAGAGCAGGUCCCACGGAAAAAACGUAGUGUUGAGUCCAUUGUUCAAGAAUUUCAUACUGCUAGGCUGGAAGCUAUUCAUGCAAAAGAGCGCGGUGACAAAAAGGGCCAGGAACAAGCCAGCCGAAUCAUUCGGAAGAUCAAGCAGGAGAUAUCUUCUCUAGG
Molecule: unclassified non-coding RNA, 227 nt
Filed under: Hevea brasiliensis (rubber tree)
Lineage: Eukaryota; Viridiplantae; Streptophyta; Magnoliopsida; Malpighiales; Euphorbiaceae
Source: RNAcentral